Molecule: long non-coding RNA, 905 nt
Filed under: Marmota monax (woodchuck)
Lineage: Eukaryota; Metazoa; Chordata; Mammalia; Rodentia; Sciuridae
Source: RNAcentral
AGCUAAUUUUAUUUAUUUUUUUCUUGCAGGUUCUGAAAAGUGCCUUUUCUGAAAACUCUGCUGCUUGGAUUCUACUCUAGAGCUGUCUCUUUACCAACCCCUCUCCCUGCCACACCCUUCCCCGCUCCCUGCCUCCUACAAAACCUGGCGUGCUUGUAGUUCACUUGUCAGCAACUUGUCCAUUUUUUUUUUCUGUGAUUCGCAGUUUUCUUAGUCAUUUUCUCGCCCCUCGAUUUUGCAGCAAAGCUGGUUUUCGGGUUGUAACAUCUUCCCCAGUCUUACUCUUUAGAACUAAGAAAUAGGGAGAAAAACUGUUCUCUCCCUGAUCUGAGACCCUUGCACAAAUUGAAGGGCAGCAAGCAGCAUAUGCUUUUUAUAAGAAUAAUUGAAAACAUCAACUAGACAGCACAGAAUUCUUUUGAAAGCCUGCCAGUUUUUUGAGGCAAAUUCAGCAAAGGAACAAAAUAAACCAUUCACUAUCUAUAAGCUUUACAGUUGCCUUCUUAGGAGUUGGUCUCUAAUUUGAUUUUUAGUUAUUCUGAUACAACUUUGAUUUUAUGAGUGACUUUUUAUUUGACUAGAUCAGAUUUGACUUAAAUGGAAACCUAAGUGCUAACAAAUAGACAUUCUGCCAAAGCAACUUGGUGUCUUUCACAUUUACCCCUAAUUCAUUUUUAGUCCUUUAACAAUCCAUAGUGAUAUUCUCCUAAAGAGGGUGCACUUGAUUAUAAUUUUGCUUUCAAUAUGACUGCUGUCAAUGUUGCCCUGAUUCGUGAUACCAAGUGGCUGACUUUAGAAGUCUGCAGAGAAUUUCAGAGAGGAACUUGCUCUCGACCUGAUGCAGAUUGCAAGUUUGCCCAUCCACCAAGAGUUUGCCAUGUGGAAAAUGGUCGUGUGGUAGCCUG